RNAcentral lists this ribosomal RNA (492 nucleotides) under uncultured bacterium. RNAcentral describes it as "partial 16S ribosomal RNA". It matches the Rfam family "Bacterial small subunit ribosomal RNA", at positions 29 to 507 of the family's 1533-position model. The record is from RNAcentral.
AGUGAACGCUGGCGGUAGGCCUAACACAUGCAAGUCGAACGGCAGCACAGUAAGAGCUUGCUCUUACGGUUGGCGAGUGGCGGACGGGUGAGGAAUACAUCGGAAUCUACUUUUUCUUGGGGGAUAACGUAGGAAAACUUACGCUAAUACCGCAUACGACCUACGGGUGAAAGCAGGGGAGCUUCGGACCUUGCGCGAUUGAAUGAGCCGAUGUCGGAUUAGCUAGUUGGCGGGGUAAAGGCCCACCAAGGCGACGAUCCGUAGCUGGUCUGAGAGGAUGAUCAGCCACACUGGAACUGAGACACGGUCCAGACUCCUACGGGAGGCAGCAGUGGGGAAUAUUGGACAAUGGGCGCAAGCCUGAUCCAGCCAUACCGCGUGGGUGAAGAAGGCCUUCGGGUUGUAAAGCCCUUUUGUUGGGAAAGAAAAGCAGCAGGUUAAUACCCCGCUGUUCUGACGGUACCCAAAGAAUAAGCACCGGCUAACUUCGUG